CAACUGAGCUGUUGAGUUUCAUUUGCCACAUCGCGUGUUUCGUCAGUUUGGUCUGUUCCAGCCUCACCCGCCGGAAUGGGUGGAUACGGACAAAGCACUUCAUAGGUUGGACAGGAGAAGGCAGCGGAAGAUAAAGGACUGGGACAAGCAUCAUGCUUCGUAUGUUACCCGCUUCCAGCUUUGCGUGGAGCAAGCUCGUAGCAGUGCACGCGCCCAGCUUCGUGAGCAUAACCCACUUGCUUUUGAUAACUACAUACGAUGGCUUCUUGAAAAUACUCGAGUUGAGAUAUGCCCGCCGGCAUAUAAUGAGGAUAUUCUUGAAGAACCCGUGAACUUUGAGGAUCUAUCAAAGGGGAAGUACAACAGAGAUGUCAGGGUAGGGCAAGGAGUCCCUGCUGUUCCGGUGAUUAACUAUGUGGUAAAGUGUUCCUUCUUUACUUUCCCGUUGGCCGUAUUACACAUGUCUGAAUGGCUAACGUGUUCAUUCUUUCUCAUCCGCAGCGCAGCGAGAUCAAGAAAGCAGCUGAUGAGAGCCAGUCUAUUCUGGAGAACACACCGGUUGGAAAAGGCAAUGAUGAUGGUUCACUACGAGCAUUCCUCAAGGUACAUAUCGCAUUCACUAUGAGAGCCAGUCUAUGUUGCGGAGUUUGAUAUCUUCCACACUUGUUCAUGUUACAGCGUCAGGCCAGGAAGUUAAGGCGGUUAUCGAAUCUUCUCGGUUGCCGUGAUCCCGAAUUUGAUGAACCAUCUGCCUCUAGGUCUGGUACACCAUCAGACCCCUCAUCUCACCAUUAGGGGGACGAUGUGAGUUCCUCAUAUGCUUAUCUGGAUGAUGAUGGCGUGGUCACCCAAGAGGGCCAUGAGCUUGAUGAUGACAUGACUUUGGCGGACGCUCAACUUCGGUCCCCAUAUGUGUUCAAGCCUAGGCAGCCCAGACGCCGGUACACGCCCAACGACUUUGACAACAGAGGCAACCCAAAGGUGGUCGUAGGGACCUCGCGGAUGGCUAGCUUGGAUCAUGAGGCGGAGGCGGAGGAGGAAGUGCAGGAAGAGGAGGCUCGUCCACCCAGGAAGAAGAAGAUUGCCUGCAGGCGUGGCACCAGGAACACGCGCGGAAGGCAGUAGUGCUUGUGUUUGUUAGUGCUCUUGUAGCCGUUUCAUUAGGUCGAUGAACUUGUGAGGUUAUGUUAUAUGUUGGUGAAUUCUUACUAGUGUGGUAUUUGUGUUUGCGAACUAGUAGUAAUGUUGAAUUGUCCUAAAUGAUGUGAUGUUCAAGUUAUUAGUUGUCUUUGUUCA
Aegilops tauschii subsp. strangulata is the source of this 1296-nucleotide non-coding RNA. The record is from RefSeq and is a predicted model, not a curated record. Lineage: Eukaryota; Viridiplantae; Streptophyta; Magnoliopsida; Poales; Poaceae.